This 467-nucleotide ribosomal RNA is filed under the name uncultured bacterium. Its description in RNAcentral is "partial 16S ribosomal RNA". It matches the Rfam family "Bacterial small subunit ribosomal RNA", at positions 28 to 507 of the family's 1533-position model. The record is from RNAcentral.
GACGAACGCUGGCGGCGUGCUUAACACAUGCAAGUCGAACGGAAAGGCUCCAGCUUUCUGGAGUGCUCGAGUGGCGAACGGGUGAGUAACACGUGGGCAAUCUGCCCUGCACUCUGGGAUAAGCCUGGGAAACUGGGUCUAAUACCGGAUAGGACCUUUUUCUUCAUGGGGUUUGGUGGAAAGUUUUUCGGUGCAGGAUGAGCCCGCGGCCGAUCAGCUUGUUGGUUGGGUAAUGGCUUACCAAGGCGACGACUGGUAGCCGGCCUGAGAGGGUGAUCGGCCACAUUGGGACUGAGAUACGGCCCAGACUCCUACGGGAGGCAGCAGUGGGGAAUAUUGCACAAUGGGCGAAAGCCUGAUGCAGCGACGCCGCGUGAGGGAUGACGGCCUUCGGGUUGUAAACCUCUUUCAGUAGGGACGAAGCGCAAGUGACGGUACCUGCAGAAGAAGCACCGGCUAACUACGUG